Molecule: ribosomal RNA, 699 nt
Filed under: Elachyptera holtzii
Lineage: Eukaryota; Viridiplantae; Streptophyta; Magnoliopsida; Celastrales; Celastraceae
Description: eukaryotic LSU rRNA
Rfam family: 5.8S ribosomal RNA (bases 281-436)
Source: RNAcentral
UUUCCGUAGGUGAACCUGCGGAAGGAUCAUUGUCGAAACCUACAAAGACAGAACGACCCGCGAAUCGGUGAAACUUUAUUUAUUUGGGAUACGUGCCCUCGGGCAAGUCUCCCAGAGUCCUGAGCGAAGGAUGUGGUCGAAAUCCACGUCCUCCGCUACGGGAAAAACGAACAAACCCCGGCGCAGGUCGCGCCAAGGAAAACAAAGGAAGGAUGCGCUCUCCUCGUUCGCCCCGGAAGGGGUGCGUUGGGAGUCACAUCGUCGUUAUCAUAUUCAAAACGACUCUCGGCAACGGAUAUCUCGGCUCUCGCAUCGAUGAAGAACGUAGCGAAAUGCGAUACUUGGUGUGAAUUGCAGAAUCCCGUGAACCAUCGAGUUUUUGAACGCAAGUUGCGCCCAAAGCCGUCAGGCUGAGGGCACGCCUGCCUGGGCGUCACGAAAAGUCGCCGAACCUCCCUCACCCCUCACGAGUAGGAGUGGCGAGGGAUGGCGGACAUUGGCCUCCCGGGCGCUCGUGCGCGUGGUUGGCCCAAAUAUUCGGUCUGCCCGCUAGGCGGCCACGACACACGGUGGUUGAAAGCACGCGCUCUCCUCGAACACCGUCGUGGCGAGCCUCGUUUAUGGGGAGCCAGAGACCCCGACGCGGAGCGUCACCACUAAGCGACCCCAGGUCAGGCGGGAACACCCGCUGAGUUUAAG